GAUGAACGCUGGCGGCGUGCCUAAUACAUGCAAGUCGAGCGAACGGACGAGAAGCUUGCUUCUCUGAUGUUAGCGGCGGACGGGUGAGUAACACGUGGAUAACCUACCUAUAAGACUGGGAUAACUUCGGGAAACCGGAGCUAAUACCGGAUAAUAUUUUGAACCGCAUGGUUCAAAAGUGAAAGACGGUCUUGCUGUCACUUCUAGAUGGAUCCGCGCUGCAUUAGCUAGUUGGUAAGGUAACGGCUUACCAAGGCAACGAUGCGUAGCCGACCUGAGAGGGUGAUCGGCCACACUGGAACGGAGACACGGUCCAGACUCCUGCGGGAGGCAGCAGUAGGGAAUCUUCCGCAAUGGGCGAAAGCCUGACGGAGCAACGCCGCGUGAGUGAUGAAGGUCUUCGGAUCGUAAAACUCUGUUAUUAGGGAAGAACAUAUGUGUAAGUAACUGUGCACAUCUUGACGGUACCUAAUCAGAAAGCCACGGCUAACUACGUG
RNAcentral lists this ribosomal RNA (497 nucleotides) under uncultured bacterium. RNAcentral describes it as "partial 16S ribosomal RNA". It matches the Rfam family "Bacterial small subunit ribosomal RNA", at positions 28 to 507 of the family's 1533-position model. The record is from RNAcentral.